This is a long non-coding RNA of Bos taurus (domestic cattle), 914 nucleotides long. The record is from Ensembl. Lineage: Eukaryota; Metazoa; Chordata; Mammalia; Artiodactyla; Bovidae.
ACAGACCAACACAGGUAUGAUCUUGCCCCUCCUCCUCCGGCCACAAGUGAUUAAAUCAGGUGGACGCCCCACACACCUGGCCCAAUCAGCUGCUGCGUCUCAAGAGUUCAGACUUGAAGGCCUGAGCUAGUGUGCUGUGAUGAGCUACACGGACAGGUCUUGCUAGUUGCAGGACUUGGACUUACUUUGGGUGUGGCCACAGGAGUCUUGUGAGAGAAGUUUGUUUUCUCAGCUGACUAGAUUGUGGGCGAAGUGACAUCACCAUCUGAUCAGCAUCUAAAAACAUUUCAGCUACGUUAAAAAAAAUAGAGAUCUCGAACGUGCUCCCUUAAUUACAUUUGACCAUUUGAGCAGCUGCGUGGAAACCCCGGGUAGCCGGCCUGUUCUGCAAUUUGUUUUGAAAACAAGCUUUUCAGUCUCUCGGCUGCGAGGAUCCUGUGUAAAGGGUGUACACUGUGAAUCACAGUUUCAAAGGAAGACGACAAACACAGAUCUCAGCCAAGUAAUUUGUAAAACUGGACUGCUGACAGAAAUUCAGGAAGCAGCAGAAAACAACCAAGAACAAAGACACAGUCAAGAGGCUGGAUGUGACCUGAAGGAAUCACGGGAAGAAGCUCCGGGGUGAAGGAAAGACGAGGAGCAGAGACCCCGAGGGGCUGAGAACACGUGGUCUGAAUGCAGGAUGCCCUGAAUGUUUGGGACCUGAGCUGCCUUCGGCUGUUCCUAACGUGCGUUUAGUUCCCCGAGGGAACAGGGAACGGACUGUUUCUUCAGUUAGAUUCACAGCUUUCAUUGUCAUCAUGAACUCAAUCAGUCCAAAUCUCUUUAAUGAUUACUUCAUGGAUUCUGUGGUCUUUUUCUCUAAUAAUAACAAUAACAAAAUAAAAAUAAGUAACACUUAUGGAGCUUUCUAC